RNAcentral lists this long non-coding RNA (405 nucleotides) under Ficedula albicollis (Collared flycatcher). Its description in RNAcentral is "lncRNA (ENSFALG00000024304.1)". Lineage: Eukaryota; Metazoa; Chordata; Aves; Passeriformes; Muscicapidae. The record is from RNAcentral.
AGAUAACAGUCACAGCCUGUUGAAGCUGCCUUGAAAUCCUGCUGAAAGGGCAGCUCUGGCUCCCUUGGCUUGUUUCUCUGUGCCUGUUUGUUGUCUUGUGUUUGUACCAGCCCUGCCACAUCCAGAAGUUAUUCUGAAAUGAAAAGGGCCAAGGAGGCCCCUGCAGUCUGGAGGACAAGGACCAGUGUGGAUUAAAUGGUCCUGCUUACAGGAGAAAUGCCACCUCCAUUUCUUCAGGUAGCAGCAAGAUAAUUCUCUCACAUCCACCCUUUGGACUCUGAUUCAUGAGCUCUAUGCAUUCAUGAUGGGCUGAUAAAAGAGAUUAACAGCAUGAUGGGCUGCCACACCUGUCUGUCUGUCUGUUAUUGCCCUGCAACAGAGAAGUGAAAAGGCAGAGUGUCAGCU